GACGAACGCUGGCGGCGUGCUUAACACAUGCAAGUCGAACGGAAAGGUCCUGCUCUUGCUGGGUUCUCGUGUGGCGCACGCGUGAGUAACACGUGUGUAUCCUCUACUUGUCUUUCGGAUAUCUCUUCGAAAAUCGGGCUCUUAUCCGAUAUGAGCUAUUGCUCCAUGGUGGGCGUUGGAAAGUUUCGGCUGUUGGGGCUGGACUGGCGGCUUAUCAGCUUGUUUGUGUGGUAGUGGCUUACCAAGGUUGCGACGGGUAGCCGACCUGGGCGGGUGGCCGGCCACAUUGGGACUGAGAUACGGCCCAGACUGGUACGGGAGGCAGCAGGGGGGAAUAUUGCGGAAUGGGCGGAAGCCUGAGACGGCGGCGCCGCGAGCGUGAUGACGUCCUUCGGGUUAAAAACCGCUGUCGCCUGAGACGAAGCGGGAGUGACGGUAAUGAGUAAAAAAGCACCGGCUAACUACGUG
This 468-nucleotide ribosomal RNA is filed under the name uncultured bacterium. Its description in RNAcentral is "partial 16S ribosomal RNA". It matches the Rfam family "Bacterial small subunit ribosomal RNA", at positions 28 to 507 of the family's 1533-position model. The record is from RNAcentral.